UUCUUGAGUGUGUACUUGUUAAGCCUUUUAAGAAAAAAGUUAUUAACUUAAGGAAUUAUAACAAAGAAGCAACACGUAAAUGGAUUUUCCAUUUUUUAGUGUGUAUCAAUCGAGUUUCUGACCUAUCAGCUUUUGAUGUUAGGGUAUUGGCCUAACAUGGCUAUGACGGGUAACGGGGAAUUAGAGUUCGAUUCCGGAGAGGGAGCCUGAGAAAUAGCUACCACAUCUAAGGAAGGCAGCAGGCGCGUAAAUUACCCAAUUCUAAAGAAGAGAGGUAGUGACAAGAAAUAACAAUACAAGGCCAAUCUGGCUUUGUAAUUGGAAUGAUGGGAAUUUAAAACCUUCCCAAAACUCAAUUGGAGGGCAAGUCUGGUGCCAGCAGCCGCGGUAAUUCCAGCUCCAAUAGCGUAUAUUAAAAUUGUUGCAGUUAAAACGCUCGUAGUUGAAUUUCAAAGAAUCGAUAUUUUAAGUAACGCUUUGUAGAUUAAUCCACAUAACUGAUACUACGUAUCGACUUUGUGCGCAUUUUUCUACUUAUGUGUUCUUUUAAUUAAAAUGAUUCUUUUUAAGAUCUUUCUUUAUUGCUUCGGCAUUUUAGGAGAUCUUGUUACUUUGAGUAAAUUAGAGUGUUCAAAGCAAACAGAUUAUAGCAUCUUUAUGCGUUUGAAUACUACAGCAUGGAAUAACAAAAUUGAACAAGUCAGAAUUUUGUUCUUUUUUCUUAUUUUGGCUUAGUUACGAUUAAUAGGAGUAGCUUGGGGGCAUUUGUAUUCAGAUGUCGGAGGUGAAAUUCUUAGAUUUUCUGGAGACAAACAACUGCGAAAGCAUUUGCCUAAAAUACUUCCAUUAAUCAAGAACGAAAGUUAAGGGAGUGAAGACGAUCAGAUACCGUCGUAAUCUUAACCAUAAACUAUGCCGACUAGGC
RNAcentral lists this ribosomal RNA (925 nucleotides) under Plasmodium inui. RNAcentral describes it as "SSU rRNA". It matches the Rfam family "Eukaryotic small subunit ribosomal RNA", at positions 174 to 1051 of the family's 1831-position model. The record is from RNAcentral. Lineage: Eukaryota; Apicomplexa; Aconoidasida; Haemosporida; Plasmodiidae.